RNAcentral lists this ribosomal RNA (393 nucleotides) under Triticum aestivum (bread wheat). RNAcentral describes it as "partial small subunit ribosomal RNA". The record is from RNAcentral. Lineage: Eukaryota; Viridiplantae; Streptophyta; Magnoliopsida; Poales; Poaceae.
AUGGACGGUGGCAGCAGUCUAAACCUGAUAUAUCAGGACACAGUCCGCAAAAUGGGGAUAGACCCAACGAAAAUUUGCCACACCAAUACUACCUUUAAAGGAGUAACGCCAGGCCCAGGGGCUCAUUGCACGGGCUCCCUGCUACUAGAGGUUAUAUUCGGCUUCCCCGAUAACUUCCGUAGUGAAAAUUUAACCUUCCACAUUGCGCCAUUCCAAAGUGGCUAUCAAGCACUACUUGGACGCAAAGCUUUCGCUCGCUUUAAUGCAAUACCGCAUUAUGCUUCCCUCACUCUUAAGAUGCCCAGUCCACGUGGCAUCAUUACAGUAAAUGGAAAUAUUGAGCAAUCCCUACGCGCCGAAGAGAGUGUGGCGGCCUUGGCAGCCGCACACUAA